GCAGCAUUCGCCCAUCACGGUGGCGGAGGUCCCGGCUGCGAACACCCCCCUCCUCCCAUGCCUCCGCCAUCGAACGACACCAGUAUUUCUGGAGGAGGCGGAAAUUCUUCUGAUGCCAUCACCGGAAUGUCCAGUGAAGAUACGAGUUCUUCCGAGAAUUCCACUGGGAGUGACACAAUGGAAAGUACACCAACCAUGACGUAACUGACAUCCGGAACCAAGACCAGUACGGCGUCAGCUUGACGUGGAGAUGCACUCUGAAAUAAAAAAUCCCCCACAAGCACUCUCUUGCACUCAAAUGCGCACUCUUCUUAGAACUAUGCGCCUUUUGUCGAAGUUCUUGCACUGCCGCAUGUUCAAAUAAAGCAUCCUUGCGCUUA
Molecule: long non-coding RNA, 380 nt
Organism: Dermacentor andersoni
Lineage: Eukaryota; Metazoa; Arthropoda; Arachnida; Ixodida; Ixodidae
Source: RefSeq, a predicted model, not a curated record